AGGACGAACGCUGGCGGCGUGCUUAACACAUGCAAGUCGAGCGGUAAGGCCUUUCGGGGUACACGAGCGGCGAACGGGUGAGUAACACGUGGGUGAUCUGCCCUGCACUUCGGGAUAAGCCUGGGAAACUGGGUCUAAUACCGGAUAUGACCUCCUAUCGCAUGGUGGGUGGUGGAAAGAUUUAUCGGUGCAGGGUGGGCCCGCGGCCUAUCAGCUUGUUGGUGGGGUAAUGGCCUACCAAGGCGACGACGGGUA
RNAcentral lists this ribosomal RNA (255 nucleotides) under uncultured soil bacterium. RNAcentral describes it as "partial 16S ribosomal RNA". It matches the Rfam family "Bacterial small subunit ribosomal RNA", at positions 26 to 285 of the family's 1533-position model. The record is from RNAcentral.